Non-coding RNA from Myotis davidii, 74 nucleotides. The record is from Rfam. Lineage: Eukaryota; Metazoa; Chordata; Mammalia; Chiroptera; Vespertilionidae.
GCCAAUGUUGCUCAAUGGUUGGAGCAUUGGAUUGUGUGCCAAAGGGUCUCAGGUUUGAUUCCUGGUCAAGGGCA